AAAUUGAAGAGUUUGAUCAUGGCUCAGAUUGAACGCUGGCGGCAGGCCUAACACAUGCAAGUCGAGCGGAAACGACACUAACAAUCCUUCGGGUGCGUUAAUGGGCGUCGAGCGGCGGACGGGUGAGUAAUGCCUAGGAAAUUGCCUUGAUGUGGGGGAUAACCAUUGGAAACGAUGGCUAAUACCGCAUAAUGCCUACGGGCCAAAGAGGGGGACCUUCGGGCCUCUCGCGUCAAGAUAUGCCUAGGUGGGAUUAGCUAGUUGGUGAGGUAAUGGCUCACCAAGGCGACGAUCCCUAGCUGGUCUGAGAGGAUGAUCAGCCACACUGGAACUGAGACACGGUCCAGACUCCUACGGGAGGCAGCAGUGGGGAAUAUUGCACAAUGGGCGAAAGCCUGAUGCAGCCAUGCCGCGUGUAUGAAGAAGGCCUUCGGGUUGUAAAGUACUUUCAGUUGUGAGGAAGGGUGUGUAGUUAAUAGCUGCRCAUCUUGACGUUAGCAACAGAAGAAGCACCGGCUAACUCCGUGCCAGCAGCCGCGGUAAUACGGAGGGUGCGAGCGUUAAUCGGAAUUACUGGGCGUAAAGCGCAUGCAGGUGGUUCAUUAAGUCAGAUGUGAAAGCCCGGGGCUCAACCUCGGAACUGCAUUUGAAACUGGUGAACUAGAGUGCUGUAGAGGGGGGUAGAAUUUCAGGUGUAGCGGUGAAAUGCGUAGAGAUCUGAAGGAAUACCAGUGGCGAAGGCGGCCCCCUGGACAGACACUGACACUCAGAUGCGAAAG
This 779-nucleotide ribosomal RNA is filed under the name Vibrio splendidus. RNAcentral's name for it is "bacterial SSU rRNA". It matches the Rfam family "Bacterial small subunit ribosomal RNA", at positions 1 to 759 of the family's 1533-position model. Lineage: Bacteria; Pseudomonadati; Pseudomonadota; Gammaproteobacteria; Vibrionales; Vibrionaceae. The record is from RNAcentral.